Molecule: ribosomal RNA, 813 nt
Filed under: Chattonella subsalsa
Lineage: Eukaryota; Raphidophyceae; Chattonellales; Chattonellaceae
Description: partial Eukaryotic large subunit ribosomal RNA
Rfam family: Eukaryotic large subunit ribosomal RNA
Source: RNAcentral
GCAGGAUUACCCGCUGAACUUAAGCAUAUCAAUAAGCGGAGGAAAAGAAACCAACAGGGAUUGCCCUAGUAACGGCGAGUGAAGCGGCAACAGCUCAAAUUUGAAAUCUGGCGUCUUUGGCGUCCGAGUUGUAAUUUGCAGAGGGCGCUUUGGCAUUGGCAGCGGUCCAAGUUCCUUGGAACAGGACGUCACAGAGGGUGAGAAUCCCGUACGUGGUCGCUAGCCUUUACCGUGUAAAGCCCCUUCGACGAGUCGAGUUGUUUGGGAAUGCAGCUCUAAAUGGGAGGUAAAUUUCUUCUAAAGCUAAAUACUGGCCAGAGACCGAUAGCGCACAAGUAGAGUGAUCGAAAGAUGAAAAGCACUUUGGAAAGAGAGUUAAAAAGCACGUGAAAUUGUUGAAAGGGAAGCGCUUGCAGCCAGACUUGCCUGUAGUUGCUCAUCCGGGUUUCUACCCGGUGCACUCUUCUACGGGCAGGCCAGCAUCAGUUUGGGCGGUUGGAUAAAGGUCUCUGUCAUGUACCUCCUUUCGGGGAGAUCUUAUAGGGGAGACGACAUGCAACCAGCCUGGACUGAGGUCCGCGCAUCUGCUAGGAUGCUGGCGUAAUGGCUGUAAGCGGCCCGUCUUGUAACACGGACCAAGGAGUCUAACAUACGUGCGAGUACUUUGGUGACAAACCAAUGUGCGCAAUGAAAGUAAAGGCUGGCUUCCGUCAGCUCAGGUGGGAUCCGUUUGGAGCACCAUCGACCGACCAUUAUGCCUUCGGGCUAAAGGUUUGAGUGUGAGCAUUUAUGUUGGGACCCGAAAGAUGGUGA